CCUAGUUGACUGUAUUGUCCACUUCAUUGACUUUGCAAACACGCACCAAAAAUUUUGGAAGACCCCUCUGUAGUUCACUAUUAAAGCCGCAACAAUCUCUUUGCCACCUCUAACACUUCAGGGAUCCCAGUAUUCCUGUAGCUGUUUGCACAUCCCAAAGUAUCCCAGCAGCUGAGGUGAUUGCACACCAUCAUUGCCAGGGCUUGAAGACCAAGAGAAAUAAACAUUCAUCUGGUGCUGGACUAAAUGAAAUUUGAGGUUGAUUCAGACCAUAAAGUUCUGUGAAGGGCUUUUGAGAACGAUGGAAGCGAUAGCAAUGAUGUCAAUUUAAAAUAAAUAAAUACAUAAAACCUCUUGAAGCUGACAAAGUAGGAGAUAGGAUGUUUAAAACUUUCAUAUAUAGGUUGUUCAUAUUAGGGUGGGAGGUCAGGUAUAUUGGAAACACAUAGAGUAUAUUUGGAUCCAGAUGACUAUCAGGUGGCCUCUCAAAUAGAUCCAUGUCCUACUCCCCCAAAACUGUGAAUGUUACCUUCUAUGGAAAAAGGGACUUAGCAUGUGUGAUUCUAUUAAGGAUCUUGAGAUUUACCAGGAUUAUCCAGGUUGAUCCAAUCUAAACAAAACAGUCCUUAAAAAAGGGAUGUAGGAGCAGUUGGAGUCAGAGGAGGGGCCAUGCAGUGACAGAAGCAGAUUCAGCAAUGCUCAGUGAUGGUGAAGGAA
Molecule: non-coding RNA, 717 nt
Organism: Microcebus murinus (gray mouse lemur)
Lineage: Eukaryota; Metazoa; Chordata; Mammalia; Primates; Cheirogaleidae
Source: RefSeq, a predicted model, not a curated record